UAAAUUAUCACGUACACAUGUGUGGGGUUGAGGUGUAUUCACAAGGACAAGACUCCCAGCCUGCCACCCGAUGUUUGGCUGUGGGCCUCUGUAUCUGUUUCCAUCCACUCCUGGAUUAAGCCUCUCAGAUGACCACAUCUCCAGGUCACUGACAUAGGAGGGACUGAAGAACACUCUCAGAGCUGAGACAGGUUCUCUCAUAAUGUGGUCCUGGAGAGCCGCUGGGAGUUUCUAAAUGCCACUGUUCACAAGGGGAUCUGACCAUAGGCUCUUCCCAUCUCUCGUCGGAUCCCAGCAGGUUCCUUCCCAUGGUAACGGCUUUUGAAAACUACAGAACAUUUGUAAAAGAAGAAAAUCAUUUGUGAUCUACAAAUUUUGGUUCCUUUCAACCCACAUGUAACACUAAUGAGUUCAUGGACUGACAGCUACCUGUGCAAACUGCCUUGGACACACGCUGCCUCCCCUGACAGGCUCGACCAUGUGCUUGGGCCACUGGAAUUGAGUAGACUGACCGGACAUCUGUCACCUGUGAGUGAGAACUGUUGGUGCUUGCAGACUUUGGCUUGGCCUCCUUGCUUCUGCCGUAAAGGUCAAAGUUCAAGAUUGCCACUUCUUCGAUCCAGCAUCCUGAAGAGGACGAAUCAAGGAGGCCUGGCAUAGCUCCCAGUCCCAAGCAUAUUCCUUAGCCAACUUGCAGCUCCAGGGAGGAGUCUGUAGUUAUGUCUGUUUAUAUCACUGUCUGGGUGCAUAUACAUGUGUAUGUGCACUACAGCAUCCUUGUGAAAGGCCAAGAACUUUGAGAUGUAUACUCGCUCCUUCCUCCGUGAAACCGAAGGAUCUAACAGCUCACCAGCCUUGUGCAGUGCGUUUUUCCUGCCAAGCCAUCUUACUGGGCUUUAAAAAAUGUAUUUUGACCUUAGGGUUUUUGUUUUUGUUUUAGAUAGUCUCCCAUUGGCAUAGACCUCAACAAUUUGGCUCUCUGGCUCCCAAGCCCAGGGGAGCCUCACUUUGCACUCCCUACACUGGAAAUAUAAGCUCAUGCCACUACAGCUGGCUUUUGUGGGCUUCUGAGGCUCACACAGUCUCACUUACUGAGCCAGUCGCCCAGCCCAGCCACUAAGCUCUUGGAAGUUGUGGAGAAGCUGAGAUGUCCCUUUGUAGAAGCUGUGACAAACAGACCUACACACAAAUGUGGAGUCACUGUGCUGUGUGGCCAUCAGUCAACAACUGACCAAAUUCCUCCACUGACACCUAAGUCUUGAUGGAACUGAGACCUGACUGAGGACAGAGACUCGGGGAUGUCUGUAGCAUGCGUCUGACAGUGGCUCACCAACACUCCUCCCAUUGCUGGAGGUACUGAGCACUACAGACCCUCAUAGCCAACCCUUCCGUUGUUUCAGAAACACCUGCUCUUCCAUCACUACAUAUUUUUAAAAAUUAUUUUGUGCAUAUGGGUAUUUUUUUUAAUAUGGAAGGCUUUCACGGAUUUGGGUAUCAUCCUUGCACAGGGAUUCUAAUCUUCUGUGCAUCAUUCCAAUUUUGGUAUAUAUGCUGCUGAAGCACACAUAUGGGUAUUUUGCUUGCAAGGAUGUCUGUGUACCACAUAUGUGCCUGCAGAGCCCAGAAGAGGGAGUUGGAUCUCCUAGAACUAGAGUCACAGAUGGUUAUGAGCCACCACCUGAAUGUGAGAAUUGACUCCAGGUCCUCUGGAAGAGCAGCCAGUGCUCUGACCUUUGAGCCAUCUCUCCAGCCCCAUCUUUAUAUCUUACUAGGGCAAGAAGCUGUUGUUAUCAGGUACUCUGGGGAGUUGGAGGAGUAGGAGUGCGGUAAGGGGUAGGUAGAGAGGAGGUAGGGAGUAAGCUAGCAGUGAGAUAGAGUGGCUGCCUGAAGCUCAGGUGAAGUUCACCCAGAAGCCAGCAGCAUUCCUUCAUGCUGCUUGUAUCUAGCUUCUCAGCUUCCACUCUCACACAGGGAUCGCUGUGAGGAGCACCUCCUCGGUGUCACUAGGAGCCCUGAGGUUUUAUUGAGAAAGCAGUGAAUCAGCGAUGCCCUGUGUAGAAAGCACUCCCUCCACUGCUGCUCCAUACUGCCUCAGGCUGCUGGCUGGUCCAAACCACCUAUGUCCCAAGUACCCAGUAGUUUUGCAUGAUGUUCCUUAGCUUAUAAACAAGCGUUAUUUUCACAUGGUUUUGAAUGAUGCUAAAAUACUCAAUUCAUCUUGUUUGUGCAUAUGCUUAAACCAGAGGUGAGUGUCAGGUGGCUUCCUUUAUUGCUCCCCGCCUUUAUAAAGAAAACUAAAAAAACUAAAACU
This 2311-nucleotide long non-coding RNA is filed under the name Mus pahari (shrew mouse). Its description in RNAcentral is "RIKEN cDNA 3830432H09 gene (MGP_PahariEiJ_G0006027.1)". The record is from RNAcentral. Lineage: Eukaryota; Metazoa; Chordata; Mammalia; Rodentia; Muridae.